GCUAGGGUAGCUCAGUUGGUAGAGCACGAGACUCUUAAUCUCAGGGUUGUGGGUUUGAGUCCCACAUUGGGCA
This 73-nucleotide transfer RNA is filed under the name Podarcis lilfordi (Lilford's wall lizard). It matches the Rfam family "tRNA". Rfam says of the family: Transfer RNA (tRNA) molecules are approximately 80 nucleotides in length. The record is from Rfam by way of RNAcentral. Lineage: Eukaryota; Metazoa; Chordata; Lepidosauria; Squamata; Lacertidae.